Molecule: ribosomal RNA, 715 nt
Filed under: Priestia aryabhattai
Lineage: Bacteria; Bacillati; Bacillota; Bacilli; Caryophanales; Bacillaceae
Description: bacterial LSU rRNA
Rfam family: Bacterial large subunit ribosomal RNA
Source: RNAcentral
AUGGUUAAGUUAGAAAGGGCGCACGGUGAAUGCCUUGGCACUAGGAGCCGAUGAAGGACGGGACUAACACCGAUAUGCUUCGGGGAGCUGUAAGUGAGCUUUGAUCCGGAGAUUUCCGAAUGGGGAAACCCACUGUUCGUAAUGGAACAGUAUCUUUAUCUGAAUACAUAGGAUAUUGAAGGCAGACCCGGGGAACUGAAACAUCUAAGUACCCGGAGGAAGAGAAAGCAAAUGCGAUUUCCUGAGUAGCGGCGAGCGAAACGGAAUUAGCCCAAACCAAGAGGCUUGCCUCUUGGGGUUGUAGGACACUCUAUACGGAGUUACAAAGGAACGAAGUAAAUGAAGCGACCUGGAAAGGUCCGUCAAAGAAGGUAACAACCCUGUAGUUGAAACUUCGUUCCCUCUUGAGUGGAUCCUGAGUACGGCGGAACACGUGAAAUUCCGUCGGAAGCUGGGAGGACCAUCUCCCAAGGCUAAAUACUACCUAGUGACCGAUAGUGAACCAGUACCGUGAGGGAAAGGUGAAAAGCACCCCGGAAGGGGAGUGAAAGAGAUCCUGAAACCGUGUGCCUACAAGUAGUCAGAGCCCGUUAACGGGUGAUGGCGUGCCUUUUGUAGAAUGAACCGGCGAGUUACGAUCCCAUGCAAGGUUAAGCUGAUAAGGCGGAGCCGUAGCGAAAGCGAGUCUGAAUAGGGCGUUUAGUAUGUGGUUGUA